AUGCCCGCUUUGGCCACACAGAGUAAUAUUGGAACAAUCCAUAGAAGAUUAGUGUGGCCCCAUGCAAGCAUGACAUGAAAAUUCCUGAAAUGUUCCAAUGAUUA
This 104-nucleotide small nuclear RNA is filed under the name Sorex araneus (European shrew). The record is from RNAcentral. Lineage: Eukaryota; Metazoa; Chordata; Mammalia; Eulipotyphla; Soricidae.